RNAcentral lists this unclassified non-coding RNA (357 nucleotides) under plant metagenome. RNAcentral's name for it is "partial contains 5.8S ribosomal RNA, internal transcribed spacer 2, and large subunit ribosomal RNA". The stretch from base 1 to 107 matches the Rfam family "5.8S ribosomal RNA", at positions 50 to 154 of the family's 154-position model. The record is from RNAcentral.
GAAAUGCGAUACUUGGUGUGAAUUGCAGAAUCCCGCGAAUCAUCGAGUUUUUGAACGCAAGUUGCGCCCGAAGCCAUUCGGCCGAGGGCACGUCUGCCUGGGUGUCACGCAUCGUUGCCCCCCCAAACUCCGGUUCGGGCGGGGCGGAAGUUGGCCUCCCGUGCGUGCCUGCGCGCGCGGUUAGCCCAAAAGCGAGUCCUCGGCGACGAGCGCCACGACAAUCGGUGGUUUUUUUACCCUCGUUCCUCGUCGUGCGUGUCCCGUCGCCCGAACGCGCUCUUGUGACCCUCACGCGUCGCCUCGGCGGCACUCCCAACGCGACCCCAGGUCAGGCGGGACUACCCGCUGAGUUUAAGC